Peromyscus californicus insignis is the source of this 5897-nucleotide long non-coding RNA. RefSeq lists it as uncharacterized. Lineage: Eukaryota; Metazoa; Chordata; Mammalia; Rodentia; Cricetidae. The transcript is spliced from 3 exons. The record is from RefSeq and is a predicted model, not a curated record.
CUGUGACUGUCCGUCUCAGAGUGGGCUAUUUUGUUUUCAAUCUUCCCUGGAUGAAAUCGAUGCAACGGUUUGCCUUACAAAAACCUUUGGGAUUGCAUCUCCUACUCCCAGCAUGUAGAUUUUGAAACAGAACCAGAAUGUGCUGUCAGCUGUUCUGGGCAUGUAUGCCCCGAGGAUGCUGGGAGAUGGCCCGAGGAUGCUGGGAGACGGCCCGAGGAUGCUGGGAGAAGGCCCGAGGAUGCUGGGAGAAGGCCCGAGGAUGCUGGGAGAAGGCCCGAGGAUGCUGGGAGAAGGCCUGAGGAUGCUGGGAGACGGCCCGAGGAUGCUGGGAGAAGGCCUGAGGAUGCUGGGAGACGGCCUGAGCUUACACUACCCUCUUCUCUACUGGCUCAGGGGUUCUUACCGGCAGUGUAUUCACACACACUGCGGAGUUCCUUCCUUUUGGCCAUAAGUGGUUCUGGAUACUCAGCCACACCUUUUGCUGGCUGCUUUACUUUCAUCAAAUAAACCCAACCUCACGGUUCUCUUUCUCAUAGCUGAUGGAGAAUUAACUUCCUUUCUGGGGUCCUCCCUGCUCACGGUUGAGCCAUGAUUUUGCAGACUCUCUCCCUUGUCCCUGUACUUGUGAUUUUCCCAUGAUUUUAGGAGAAUCAUGACAUUGAAGUAUGGGGAGGUGUUCCUGGUGAACUGUGAUCACUACUGUCUGCAUCCGAUUGGCCUCUCGGGGGUUCCUAGAGUUGAAGUCCCAUCUUUCCAGGGACUAGAAGGUGUGGGCCCUGAUUCCCUUUUCACUCAGGACCUAUUUUUUCCCGUUUCUUCAAAUCCAGAAUCUCCAAUGGCAGCAGUCCUUCUUUAUUAAUUUUGUCCCCAGGCUUCUUACUAUGACUUUUCAUUUGUUCCUGGCUGGUUCCCUGAUCCCAUGGAUUAGGCUUUGGAGGAAGGCAUUUAGGAAACCAGGCAGGUUACUCCUGCUGGUUGUUUUGUUUUGUUUUGUUUUUGUUCCACCCCUCCUAGAGUGAUGGAGAGUGAGCAGAUUGUAAUUAUGAAUGAACACAAAGGAAGAGAUGGGAGAAACAAAAACACUUGAAUUAAUACUUCAAAAUAUAGCACAAAGCAUACGUUCAUUGUGAGUGUUGUGUCAGGUAUGGUCCUAGGAAAAUGUGAUGUACUAUGUUACUUGGUAAUGCUGAGUUGAGUUUUAUCCUUGGUCUAUUGAUGAGACCAAGGGCUAGAGAGACUUAGUAGCUUGCACAAGGCCAUCCUCAAAUGGUUGGGCUGUGUAUCAUAGUGUCAGGGCAGGGUCCUAGGGCUUGUCAUUAUGGGAUCUAAGACAAGUCUGGUCUCAGAGAAAGAUGUGGCUGGCAGCUCUGCCAGUUAAUAACUUUGCAGCUCCGGGCACAUCUUUUAAUUAUCUCGGCAUGAAUUUCUGCACCAGCAAAUUAAUACUGUUGUGCUAGAGUCUCAGGCCCCGGGUUCUGCAUGAGAAAAUUAACAGUACAGACCCGAAUGACUUCAAGUAUUCUUUCAGAGGGUCUGUGGCUUCAAACUGUCUUAUAAAUUCCAGUCACCAGGGCAGCUUCUCUGAAACCCUCCCUACUCAACCCUCCACCGUCAGAAGGGUUUGAGAGAGCAUAUCUAAAAAGUGUAUUCCUAGAAUCACCCCCGAUUACGCAAAUCUGCAGCCGAAUCUCUGCAGAUAUAGCCGACAGUCUCCUGGGGUUUUCAGACUACAGUUUAGGUGGCCUAGAUUGUAUCUUGUGUUCCUGUAGGACGUGAGGGAAGGUAAGAACUCGACAAUGGGAGAGAAGAGGCCAAUGCACGCUAGAAAACAUGCUGGUUGGAAUGAGAAUGGUUCCUGUAGGCUUCUCUAUUUGAAUGCUUGCUCCUCAGUUGAUGAACUACUUGGGAUUAGCAGGUGUGGCCUUGUUGGAGGAGGCGUGUCACUGGGGGUAGUUUCGAGGUUUCAGAAGCCCAUGCCAUUUCCAGUUAAUCUCUCUCUCUCUCUCUCUCUCUCUCUCUCUCUCUCUCUCUCUCUCUCUCUCUCUCUCUCUCCCACACACACACACACACUCUUCCUCUCUGUCUCCCUCUUUCUUUGCUUCAUACCUGUGGAUCCCUUAUAAGUUCUCAGCUACUGCUUCAGCACCAUGCCUGCCUACCUGCCUGCUCCCCUGCCUCCCUGCCUCCCUGCCUGCCUGCCUGCUCCCCUGCCCUGCUCCCCACCAUGAUGGUCAUGGACUCCAACCCUCCGGAACUGUGAGCCCCCGAACUAAACAUUUUCUUUUAUAGGUUGCCUUGGUCACAGUGUUUUGUCGGGCAAUAGAAAAGUAACUACGACAGACGACAACUGGUUUAAAACAAAAAGAUUUAAAACCAGACUCUGGUGUGUGGGGUCGGUGAAUGGAUUGGUGUGACUGCAGAGAAAGGGUGCCAUGGUUUCCAUGUGUUGUUCCUCAACGUUUCAUGCACUGGAGACUGACUUGGUCUUCAGUGUGGAGGUGGGGCUUUUAAGAGAUGGGCACUAGUGGGAAGUGUCCGUAGGUCAAGUGAAGACAUGUGCUUGGAAAGGACUGUGAGACCUUUACCUUCUUCUGGCUUCCUGCCUAGUUCGGUUCUUGUUUCCAUACAUCUUCGCCAUUUCUACCACCAUGAGAUGAAACAACUAAGGAAAGUCCUCAUUACAGACAGGAUCACGUUGUUUAGACGUCCAACCUCCCCACAAUGUGAAUAAGCCCCUUUCAUUUAUAAAGUUAGCCUGCCUCAGGUCUUCCACUGUACUUAUACCAAAUGGACUAAUCUCAGGUCGUAUUAGUCAGCUGCAGAAAAUUAGCUAAAUGAGCUAAGUGGGGCGAAUCAUGACCCAGAAUAGCCCUUUUUAGUGAUUAGAGGAUGAAUCUCUGCUAGAUAAAAAUGCACUUAUGGGACCAGAGAGCUGGCCUAGUGAGCAGCGUGUUGCUAUGCAAGUCCAGGGACCUGAGUGUGCGACAAGGGCCUGGACAGUGUGGAGACAGCAGAGUGGUUCCAGGUCACAGCCUGCAGAGAACCAGGUCUGGGAGGGAGAAGACUAAGGCCAUAUGAUCCCAAGACGAACUGUUUCGUUGCAGGGUGGAGGGAAGCAAUGCCUGUACUUGAACUUGGAGGAGCGCAUCCAGGUGUUUUAAUGGACUGAUCUUCAUGGGCAGCUUGAGGAGAGCAGCAGGCGGGGUGACAAGGUGGAAGACGGCCCCGGGCUGGGGUGGCUGCUCACAGAGGGACAGUUAGAUUUAUUUAUUAUAUAUACAGUAUUCUGCCUGCAUGUAUCCCUGCAGGCCAGAAGAGGGCACCAGAUCUCAUUACAUAUGGUGGUUGUGAGCCACCAUGUGGUUGCUGGGAAUUGAACUCAGGACCUUUGGAAAAGCAGUCGGUGCUCUUAACCACUGAGCCAUCUCUCCAGCCCUCACAUGAUCUUAUUGGUCCUUGCGGAUGUAAUCAGGAUGAAGUUAUACUGGAUUAAGAUUGAUUAUUAAGUCUGACGGCUGGUGGCCUUACACGGAACGCUGAGGACCCACACAGAUACUUGAAGAAGGACGAAGGCAAUGUGACUUUGAGAUCAGGCAUGAGAGUGAUGUACCUACAAGCUCGAGGGUCACCAGGGCCACCUGCAGCUGGGAAAGAGAGUACGGUCCUGCCAACUUCUUAACUUCAGACUUUCAGCCUGGAGGGCUAUGAGGCCACAGACUCCCAUCCUUUAAACUCUUAGUUUAUGUCAAAUUGUUGCUGCAGUCUUAGGAAGUGACACCUGAUCUUUGGGAGAAUGUUCCUGUGACUCAUCUGUUCACAUAUUCACUCACCUGCCACUUCUGGAUUCCAGGUGCAGGGGACACUGACCUGCAUCGAGGGAACCAGGGAUCAUUGGGGCCACUUCCAUCCUAAGUGGCUUUAGCUGAUGAUGUCAGAGUCAGCACCGGCUUCAAGGUUGUGUGGCCUCUGUAGCUGCACGUGGCUCAAAGUUCGGAAGCACUUGGUCCUGUAUUUAGCACUCUGCAGUGGCUGUCUUGAAAAAUAUCCCAAUUUUUGAAUAAGUGAUGCUCCAUUUUUAUUUUGCACUGGGCCCCACUAAUUAUUAUUAUGUGUCUUGUUCCUUCUGGGGUAAUUAUGUAAACAUUGACGGUAUCAAGAGGGCAUGGAGAAGGACCCACUAGGGUAAUGUAGGAUUCCUUGAAGGGAGAGUCUGUGCAUAGAGCAAAUUAAAAAAGCAGACAUCUACAAAGCUGUAUGGCUGUGACUUUGUCCGCAACUGCCUAGAAACAGAUCUUUAACAAAUAUGUGAAGUCUAAGUUCUAUUUUUUGUGUGUGUGUGCUUAUAACGUGCAAAAUAUAGUAGUACAAUAACUUCUGCACAUAUAAUCUUAAAAUGUGUCACUUAUAUUGGGGUCCUCUUUCACUAGCAUAUAUUAAUGGUACAGAGGAAGGGAUUUCUGUGUGACAUUCUUAUAUGCAUAGAGGACACUUGAUAAUGGUCACUUAUUAUUUAAUAAGCCUUCUCAUUUCCCCUCUCACACUACCUUUCCUUUUCUACACAGCUCUUCCUUUGCUUUUGUGUCCUUUUCAGAUGUCCUAGACCCCACAAAUAAGAGCGAACAUGAAGGACUUCUGGAUCUGGCUUGGUGGGUGUAUGUGAAGGUCUGUGUGUAUCUCUUGCUUUGUUUAUCUGUCCAUUCAUUGAUGAGCUCCUUGGCUGGUGCCACAAUUUGGCUAUUGUGACCAGUGUAGCAGUAAUGAUGGGUGUGUAGCUAUCUGGACAGUAAACAGACUUUGUUCAGUUGGAGGACAUACCCGGAAGUGGUGUAACUGGAUUGUAUGGAAGUCCUUUUAAAUUUUUUUUUGAGGAAACUUGAGACUGAUUUCCAUAGCAGCUGCUCCAAUUUACAUUCUCAGCACCAGUGUGUCAGAGUUCUCCUCAUCCUUGCCAACAUUUGAUGGUUUUUGUUUCUUUAUUGGCAGCCAUUCUGACUGGGGUGGGAAGGAAUUUCAAUGUAGCUUUAAACUUGCAUUUCCCUGACGGCUAAAUGUACUGAUUAUUAAGGUCUUUUCUGACUCUUGGAAUCAGCAAGGAGCCUUCAAGGGCCAUAAUGGCUUAUGGGAAGGAGACUCAGAAAAAUACAAGGAAACAACCUGGAAAGUCCUUAUUUCUUACAAGACAGUUUCAGAGGAAAAUAUGAAAACUUUGGAAUGAUAGUAUAAUUCAGUAAGAUCCCAAGCCCAGGGCCUCACUCUGACUGCUUUACAAUGACUAUGAGCUCCACAUGUGCAGAGUGAGCUCACAGGAAUGUGCAGCCCGUUGUCUUUCUGUUUCAACAGCCUUCACUUGGGACUUCCCUUUAUUUAUAGAAAAACUAAAGUUCUUGGCAUUGUGUUAGAGGUUGGGUGAGUUGUUUAAAAGUUGGGGUCUUAUUCUUCCCUCUCACCCCGAGUGCCCCAUGGGAAACAAUCAGUCUCUGUAUCGAGUCAUGCUCUCCUGCCUCCGUAUCAUGGACCCACUGCUUCCUCUUGAAGGCAUCACUUGCAGCUAUAUUUCCCCAAACCCUUUAAAUCUGGCCCCCAUGACACAAUCCUCUCUGUGGUAGCUUGAAUGAGAAAUGUUGCCCAUGGUCAAUCUCUAUCUGCUGGCACUGUUUGGGGUGUUUAGGUGGUACGGGCUCCCUGGAAGAGUAUAUCACUAGGGCCAGGCUUUGAGACUGAAAUCUCGCACCACCACUUCAGUUCAUAGCACUUGGUGCUAGCAUUUGAAGAUGUGAGCUCUCGGCACCCUUUUCCCACCACCAGGCCUGCCUUUUGCUGCUGUGUCUCCCUACUGUGAUGCGACAUGGUAUAUCUCUGGAACCAUAAGCCAAAAAUAAACUGUCUUUUACAAGUUC